GAUCGAUGGCUGCUGGUACUUUUUUUUGUUUCUUAGACAAUCCUGAUGCUAUAAGAAUACCUACAAUAUAUAGUCAAAUAAAAUCAAUGUCAAGAUUUUAAACUAAAUCAACUAAGGUCAACUUUAAGAUAUUCAUGUAGGUAGUUUAUCAUUAAGUUAAAGCUAGUUUAUCACUGCAUAGUCUAUAUACUUGUGUAGGUAAUUUACUAUUAUACAUGGGUAUAUGUAAUAUUUUAUGCAUGUUUACACUAUAGAGUCCCC
This 261-nucleotide long non-coding RNA is filed under the name Elaeis guineensis (African oil palm). Its description in RNAcentral is "long non-coding RNA (EGUI_LNC062021)". Lineage: Eukaryota; Viridiplantae; Streptophyta; Magnoliopsida; Arecales; Arecaceae. The record is from RNAcentral.